GCAUCAAAUUAAAUAAGAGCCUUGUUGAGGCUCUUGAGCUGCUUUUGUAGACACGUACACAGAACUGGAUCAAGACCUGCUUUAGAAGCAACACGUUGGCCUGUGAGAGAGUAUGUAAAAAAUGUUCCUCCAAGAAGCUACAGUCUAAAGAAGAAAAAUACUCAGAUAUCAUCUCGCAGAUCUUUUAUUGUGCUCUAAAUAAAUGGGUUGCUGUUAUAGUGUAGACACGAGUGAAAUGGCCUUCAUUUCUAAAUCAGCAGACUGCUGCUACAUUCUGCAGUGGCUGAAUUUCCUGGGUGGUCUUUAAGAAUCGCCCCAGGAGGUAGGCACUGUCAUAGUCUAAUCCAGAUGUUACAAAGGCACCUGCACACAUCCCAAAUCAAGAGUGCCAAAACUAAAUGAUCCUUGAAAGCUGGGAAACAGCGAGGACCUUUUGAAAAUCAUAGUAAGGAAGACUGAUUAAAAGAGAGAUUUUAUAAUUCCAAGGACACAUUCAUCAUAUACUGCAAAUAUUACAGCAGAAGGGAUUGACAUCAUGGUA
This is a long non-coding RNA of Orcinus orca (killer whale), 541 nucleotides long. RefSeq lists it as uncharacterized. The transcript has 3 exons. The record is from RefSeq and is a predicted model, not a curated record. Lineage: Eukaryota; Metazoa; Chordata; Mammalia; Artiodactyla; Delphinidae.